AGCGGCUCCGGGCGGCAGCUAUGAGGCGGGACGUGCGCAUCCUGUUACUGGGCGAGGCCCAGGUGGGGAAGACGUCGCUGAUCCUGUCCCUGGUGGGCGAGGAGUUCCCCGAGGAGGUAAGGGGCACGCCCGCCGCGGGGGUGGGAGCGGGCCCAGCCGGGGGUCCCUGGUGAGCGCGCGGGUCCCUUGCAGGUCCCUCCCCGCGCGGAGGAGAUCACGAUCCCCGCGGACGUCACCCCGGAGAAGGUGCCCACCCACAUCGUGGACUACUCAGAAGCCGAGCAGACGGACGAGGAGCUGCGGGAGGAGAUCCACAAGGUACCCGUGGUGCGCGGGACGAGGGAGGGGCUGGGCGCGGGCUCGGCCUAAUCCGCUUCGCAGGCUGGGGGAUUGGACCGAGGUGCUCAGGGUGUCCUUGGCCCUGAUAAUUCUGUGACCUCCGCACUGAGGGUUGUUGGGGCCCCUACAGCGCACGCACCCCGCUGGGAGCCGGCACCGCUCAGUCCAUUAGUGCUCCAGGGAUAACAGGACCCUUCCCCGCAGGCUCUCCCUCCCUCCUGCCGGGGUGGCAGCAGCGUUUACUCUUCCUGUGGGCUCUGUGUGCGCCACGUCCCCGUGCUGUGUGCUCCAGCCCACCGUCCCGGCCUCCGGGCACCCGGAGCUCCCAGUACCAGAGCACGUGUGCCGGGGACAUCUCCAGGCAAGGGCACAGGCCACAGCCACCCAGGGCAGCCCCUGCUGUUGGCACCCCUUACUUCGGUCCUGUCACUCUGUCUGUAGCCAGGGGGGAGGCAGGGGCCAAGGCGGCGGCAGUCUUACAGGGUGUUGGGUUGCAGGUGUGGCUGUGUCUGUCCCGAGCUCUCUGCUCUAAGGGUUUUGCCGACCACAGUUAUGCUUCUGGGGCCUGGUGUCCCUGCACUGGCAGUGGGCGGGGAAGAGGCUUCUCUGAGGGUUCAGCAGCAGCUCCCAGUGUGACACUGGGGAGUGCCUGCUCUGCCAACACCAGGCUGGAGGCAGGUUUUAGGGAAGGCUGGGCUUUCCCGGCCUCAGAGCUGCACCCAUGCUACCUGUGAGCUUCUGGGGCCUCCUGGAGCCUCGAGAUGGCGUGGAACGGCCAGGGUCGUCGGUGGUGAGCCAGCAGCCCUGUCACCCACACCUCAUCACUGUUCCCUUAGGCAAACGUGGUGUGUGUGGUGUAUGACGUCUCUGAGGAGGCCACCAUUGAGAAGGUGAGCCCUCAGUGCAGACCCCAACAGCAGAGACACAGUGGCCGGUGGUGGCCCAGGUGGACCCUCACCCAACCCGUGGCCAGUGCCAUCGCUCACAGCAUUUUGGGGAGCCUGACGUGGAGUCGCCUGACGUGGAGUCACCCAGCCCUCUCCUGUGAUCCCACUUCCCCUGAGAGGGUCUGGGACGUCCCGCAGUCUGAGCCAUUUAGGCCGGCAGCCCUCUUUCUUCCCCAGUUUCCAAACCCCCGGGGGGGACCCGCAGAGGGCCUGCGUUGGGGGCGGCCCUAGGCUUGGGCCCCAGUGACUUGGGGGUGUUUGGGAGCCAUUGGGGUCAGACCGAUGAGGCUGCACCUGCUGCCUGCCUUCUCCCACCAGCUUUGUUCCUGUGGCCGGGACUUGGGCCCUCAGUGGGCCUUGACCUCCCCCUUCUGCUCUCCCCCAGCCAGGCUCGUGCUCCAGCUGGGAGCCAUGUGCCCGCGGGCAGCCUCACUUCACAGCCAGGCUUUGCUUUUCAGAUUCGAACUAAGUGGAUCCCACUGGUGAAUGGGGGGACCACGCGGGGGCCCAGGUAAUGAGGGGGAUGUGGAAGGGGCUGGGACUCCUGGCUCCCCUGCCCCUGGUGACCAUGGGCCUUCAACCCAGGGUGCCCAUCAUCCUAGUGGGCAACAAGUCAGACCUGCGGUCGGGGAGCUCCAUGGAGGCCGUGCUCCCCAUCAUGAGCCAGUUUCCCGAGAUUGAGACCUGCGUGGAGUGUUCGGCCAAGAACCUGAGGAACAUCUCAGAGCUGUUCUACUACGCCCAGAAGGCCGUCCUGCAUCCCACAGCCCCCCUCUAUGACCCUGAGGCCAAGCAGUUGAGGCCUGCGUGCGCCCAGGCGCUGACGCGCAUCUUCAGGCUCUCAGAUCAGGACCUGGACCAGGCGCUCAGUGACGAAGAGCUCAACGCUUUCCAGAAAUCCUGCUUUGGGCACCCCCUGGCCCCGCAGGCCCUGGAGGACGUGAAGACGGUGGUGUGCAGGAACGUGGCGGGCGGCGUGCGGGAGGACCGGCUGACCCUGGAUGGUGAGGCCGGGUGCCCGCCUGUGCCUGGGGAGUGUGGGGAGGGGGCUGUGCCUGGUGCUCCCCCUGCUCUGUCUCGGUGCAGGUUUCCUCUUCCUGAACACGCUCUUCAUCCAGCGCGGCCGGCACGAGACCACCUGGACCAUCCUGCGGCGCUUCGGCUACAGCGACGCCCUGGAGCUGACUGCGGACUAUCUCUCCCCUCCGCUCCGCGUGCCCCCCGGCUGCAGCACGGAGCUCAACCACCUUGGCUACCAGUUUGUGCAGAGAGUGUUUGAGAAGCACGACCAGGUGAGAGCAUGGCGAGUCCCCUGCCCCUGCCCCCGCCCCCUCCCCGGCACACACAUCACCACAUCCCUCCUUCUGCAGGACCGCGAUGGCGCCCUCUCGCCCGUGGAGCUGCAAAGCCUUUUCAGUGUGUUCCCAGCAGCCCCCUGGGGCCCCGAGCUCCCACGCACAGUCCGCACAGAGGCCGGCCGGUUGCCCCUGCACGGAUACCUCUGCCAGUGGACCCUGGUGACCUACCUGGACGUCCGGAGCUGCCUUGGACACCUAGGCUACCUGGGCUACCCCACCCUCUGUGAGCAGGACUCCCAGGCCCAUGCCAUCACAGGUAGGCACCCACCCUCCCUGGGCCUGGGCCCAGCAUCCUGGCAGCUGCCCUAACCCGUGUCUAUCCUCACAGUCACCCGUGAGAAGAGGCUGGACCAGGAGAAGGGACAGACGCAGCGGAGCGUCCUCCUGUGCAAGGUGGUGGGGGCCCGUGGAGUGGGCAAGUCUGCCUUCCUGCAGGCCUUCCUCGGCCGCGGCCUGGGGGUAAGCACCCUAGACUCCCCCACCACCCCAGGGGCUCCAGGGGCAGGGCAGGGCAAUCUGGGGGGGCACUGCAGCCAGCGAGUGUCAGGACUUCACCUCCCUCAGCACCAGGACACGAGGGAGCAGCCUCCCGGCUACGCCAUCGACACGGUGCAGGUCAACGGGCAGGAGAAGUACUUGAUCGUGAGUGCUGGGGCGGCACGGCCUGUGCCCGAGGGUGGACCCGGGGACACCCAGGCCUGCCUGGCAGAUCUGGCCCAGCAUGGCCCUAGGGGGACCGAGCCCCAGGGACCCUUCCUAAGGCCACUGUCUGUCCCAGCUCUGUGAGGUGGGCACAGAUGGUCUGCUGGCCACAUCGCUGGACGCCACCUGUGACGUUGCCUGCUUGAUGUUUGAUGGCAGUGACCCAAAGUCCUUUGCACAUUGUGCCAGCGUCUACAAGCACCAUUACAUGGACGGGCAGACCCCCUGCCUCUUUGUCUCCUCCAAGGCCGACCUGCCCGAAGGUGUUGUGGUGUCUGGCCCAUCACCAGCCGAGUUUUGCCGCAAGCACCGGCUACCCGCUCCCGUGCCGUUCUCCUGUGCUGGCCCAGCCAAGCCCAGCACCACCAUCUUCACCCAGCUCGCCACCAUGGCCGCCUUCCCGUGGGUACCCAGUAGCGCAGCCCUGGGGACUAGCAGUGUCUGUCAUCCGAGCAGUGGGCAGCGGUGGCGUCAGGCCUGGAACUGGGGCCAGAGUGGCGGGGUGGAGCUUUGUGUGGCAG
Molecule: small RNA, 3867 nt
Filed under: Pan troglodytes (chimpanzee)
Lineage: Eukaryota; Metazoa; Chordata; Mammalia; Primates; Hominidae
Description: retained intron
Source: RNAcentral